UACGUAGGGUGCAAGCGUUAAUCGGAAUUACUGGGCGUAAAGCGUGCGCAGGCGGUCCGCUAAGACAGAUGUGAAAGCCCCGGGCUUAACCUGGGAACUGCGUUUGAGACUGGCAAGCUAGAGUCUGUCAGAGGGGGGUAGAAUUCCACGUGUAGCAGUGAAAUGCGUAGAGAUGUGGAGGAAUACCGAUGGCGAAGGCAGCCCCCUGGGAUAAGACUGACGCUCAUGCACGAAAGCGUGGGGAGCAAACAGG
This 253-nucleotide ribosomal RNA is filed under the name uncultured organism. Its description in RNAcentral is "partial 16S ribosomal RNA". It matches the Rfam family "Bacterial small subunit ribosomal RNA", at positions 524 to 776 of the family's 1533-position model. The record is from RNAcentral.